UGGUUCUGGCAUCGAUGAAGAACGCAGCGAAAUGCGAUAAGUAAUGUGAACUGCAGAAUUCAGUGAACCAUCGAAUCUUUGAACGCACAUUGCGCCCGGUGGUAUUCCGCCGGGCAUGCCUGCUCGAGCGUCAUUUAAACCAAUCCAGCCUCGCUGGGUCUUGGGCCUUUCGCCUCUGGGCGGGCCUUAAAAUCAGUGGCGGAGGUCCUCAGCUUCCAAACGUAGUAGAUCAUAUCCCGGUUGAAAUCUCGGGGAACGUCUAGCCACAAAACACUCCAAUUCUGAAAUUUGACCUCGGAUCAGGUAGGGAUACCCGCUGA
This 320-nucleotide unclassified non-coding RNA is filed under the name uncultured fungus. RNAcentral's name for it is "partial contains 5.8S ribosomal RNA and internal transcribed spacer 2". The stretch from base 1 to 133 matches the Rfam family "5.8S ribosomal RNA", at positions 22 to 154 of the family's 154-position model. The record is from RNAcentral. Lineage: Eukaryota; Fungi.